RNAcentral lists this long non-coding RNA (1198 nucleotides) under Homarus americanus (American lobster). Its description in RNAcentral is "uncharacterized LOC121877109, transcript variant X2". The record is from RNAcentral. Lineage: Eukaryota; Metazoa; Arthropoda; Malacostraca; Decapoda; Nephropidae.
UUUGUACUACCACAACAACAACUAUCACCACCACCCCUGCGUGUGUGUGUGUGUGAAUUAACUCCUUUACAGCGCCAUUAUUCACACUUUACAGGACGCUCAUUGGCUGCGAUCAAGUACAUCGGACGUGAUUGGACGACAGAGGUUGCUUGGUGAUUGGCGGAUGAAGAUGACGUAUGAGCCACGAGGCCCCGGAUGAAGCUACCAGUGAGGUAUGACUGGCCUCUACAGUACCAGUGAGGUAUGACUGGCCUCUACAGUACCAGUGAGGUAUGACUGGUCUCUACAGUACCAGUGAGGUAUAACUGGCCUCUACACUACCAGUGAGGUAUGACUGGCCUCUACAGUACCAGUGAGGUAUGACUGGCCUCUACAGUACCAGUGAGGUAUGACUGGCCUCUACAGUACCAGUGAGGUAUGACUGGUCUCUACAGUACCAGUGAGGUAUAACUGGCCUCUACACUACCAGUGAGGUAUGACUGGCCUCUACAGUACCAGUGAGGUAUGACUGGCCUCUACACUACCAGUGAGGUAUGAGUGGCAGCCAUUCUCACCUCACCUCACCUAACCUAACCACCAUGGACAGAGACAAUAACAAUGUCCGGCCGCUGGUGUUGGAUCAUCGUCACCUCCACUCACUCUCGUUUCCCGUGUUGGCUAGCAAGUAUUGUCCCAGCAAAACAAAGCCCUGGCCAUUAAACACAACUACAGAAAGUUUAAUCACGAACAAACUCAAAAUAGGGACAUGGAACGUGAGGACAUUAAAUAAGGAUGAUAAGUAUAGUAAGGUUUGUAGGGAAAUGGAAAAGAUUACAGUGGGACAUUCUGGGAUUAAGUGAAGUAAGAUGGCUAGGGUCAAAUAACAUUACUAGUCGUGAAGGAUUUAGGUUCAUAUACUCAGGUGGUAACGAAACAUGAGAGAGGUGUUGGUAUUCUUGUAAACCAUAAGUUGAGCAGAAGUGUUAAGGAAUACCGGCCAGUGUCUGAUAGAGUUUUGUUAGUCAGGUUAAGUGCUAAACCUGUGGACUUGGUAAUAAUACAGAUUUAAUGAAUGUCUGAUUAUAAUGGGUGAUUUUAACGGUAAAGUUGGGAAAGGGGAAGAACCACCAGCAGUAGGACCGUUUGGGUUGGGUGAAAGAAAUAAAAGAGGGAAAAUAUUAAUUGACUUUUGUAUAGAAAAUAAACUGAUAAUUACUAA